RNAcentral lists this ribosomal RNA (396 nucleotides) under uncultured bacterium. Its description in RNAcentral is "bacterial SSU rRNA". It matches the Rfam family "Bacterial small subunit ribosomal RNA", at positions 28 to 429 of the family's 1533-position model. The record is from RNAcentral.
GACGAACGCUGGCGGCGUGCUUAACACAUGCAAGUCGAGCGGUAAGGCCCUUUCGGGGGUACACGAGCGGCGAACGGGUGAGUAACACGUGGGUGACCUGCCCUUAGCUCUGGGAUAAGCCUGGGAAACUGGGUCUAAUACCGGAUAUGACUCCAUGACGCAUGUUGUGGGGUGGAAAGCCUUGUGCGGCUAGGGAUGGGCCUGCGGCCUAUCAGCUUGUUGGUGGGGUGAUGGCCUACCAAGGCGACGACGGGUAGCCGGCCUGAGAGGGCGACCGGCCACACUGGGACUGAGACACGGCCCAGACUCCUACGGGAGGCAGCAGUGGGGAAUCUUGCGCAAUGGGCGAAAGCCUGACGCAGCGACGCCGCGUGGGGAUGACGGCCUCGGUGUAAC